This 117-nucleotide ribosomal RNA is filed under the name Clostridiales bacterium. The record is from RNAcentral. RNAcentral also lists the same sequence under 1 other name. Lineage: Bacteria; Bacillati; Bacillota; Clostridia; Eubacteriales.
GUCGGUGUUGAUGGCGGCGAGGGUACACCCGUUCCCAUCCCGAACACGGAAGUUAAGCUCGCCGGCGCCGAAGAUACUUGGCUGGAGACGGCCCGGGAAAAUAGGAAGAUGCCGACU